GCAUAGUAUUGACCCUAAGUCUGAUAGGUAAGGGUUAAAUUUAUUUUGCAUUAUGUUUUUUCAACUGCCUGUUACCGUUAAAAAUGAUAAUAAAUUUGUUGAUCUCUCAAUCAUACCCAAGGUCUCAUUAUGCAAUCUAACAUGGCAUUAAAAGUCUAUCUCCAAUGUCUCCCUUUUAAAUUAACCAUCCCCCAUGAAUUCAACUUUUUUAAAUGGAAUGGGAACCAGUCACUGCCCCAUCAAGGCCAAUGCUUUUUGGUAAUUUGGACGUUUUAUAUUCAAGGAUAGGACCUGAUAUCAAUCCCCAGUAACAUUCAUCUUACAACAUUCCAUCUACAGUGCUAGCUUCCUGAGCUACUUCUAUAUCCUAUCAGCUUUUACCAUCCCUAUCCUCCCAAUUUUUUCUUUCUUUCUAUUUUCCUUCCAGUUUCAAAAUUAUGCUUUCUGCUUGCCUGUAGGAUUAGUAGAAUAUUAGUGGUAAUCAUUUACAAAGCUCUUUACAUAUAUUAUUUCAUUUUAUCCAAGUCACUCAUAGGAACAUUGAACAGAAAGAGUUCAAGAACAGAAACUUCAGAAGAUUUGUCUGAACUGAUGCAGAAUGAAAAUUUCCCUGCCAAAGGGGAUCAAGGCCAGCCCCAUUGCAUGAACAUAGCUUAUACUCCAACCAAGACUGGAAACAUUCUGUAGGUCCACAACACCAAGGGAAAUGGACUGAAGUAAAGAUUAUGGGGCAGUCAUUGAACCUGCAGUCCUAGAAGUUGAGAGACAAAGAAGGUUGAUGUCACUGGGACAGAAGAGAAUAAUACAAUAUCAAUAACAAGGAUGAUGACAACAACUCACAUUUUUUGUGCUUACCAUGUAAUGUUAGGAUAAUUUUAUCAUUUUGACUUAAAAUCUAAAUUAAUUUUGUCACCAGGGAAAAUCCCAUAUAAUAAAAUACCAAAGAAAUUA
Molecule: long non-coding RNA, 951 nt
Organism: Monodelphis domestica (gray short-tailed opossum)
Lineage: Eukaryota; Metazoa; Chordata; Mammalia; Didelphimorphia; Didelphidae
Source: RefSeq, a predicted model, not a curated record